Molecule: long non-coding RNA, 532 nt
Organism: Macadamia integrifolia
Lineage: Eukaryota; Viridiplantae; Streptophyta; Magnoliopsida; Proteales; Proteaceae
Exons: 2
Source: RefSeq, a predicted model, not a curated record
AUGGCAUCACUUUUAAACUGCAGGCCCUUUGAACUUCUUCAGCGGUUUAGUGUGCAGGAGUUUGCUGAGGGAAGCUUUCAUCCAUUUGAGUGUGCUCAGAGCUAAUCUCUUUCAUGUCAAUUUGACAGGUUAAACUUCAUGAACUUCAAUGGUGGACUCAUCUGUUGUCCCCUUCAAAGUAUUAAAAAGGACGCCAGAAUUGGAGAAGGGUGGGAAGGUGAUGGAAAUGAGCCAACAAUUCCUGCAACAAACGAGGUUCUAUUUAUCUCAAAAGUAUAAUCGUGUCAUAAGAGUCUCAUGCCAAUUGUACAUUUUUGUUAUAUGGUAUCCAGCAAUAAGAAAGGCUAUGUAUAGUUGUGGAUGGGUCUCCCGGUCUUUUCUUCCAACCAUUGAUCAUUUCCUGCACAUCAAUGCUUUUCACAAAAUUGUCUUACUAAAUUCAUUGUCUCUCCAGCGGUCCAGCCUAUGUUCCAUUUGUACAGUUAUGUUCCUUUUUGCGGCAAUUAAGUUUGUGUUUUGGGUUUUUCUUUUC